Molecule: long non-coding RNA, 1122 nt
Organism: Ictalurus punctatus (channel catfish)
Lineage: Eukaryota; Metazoa; Chordata; Actinopteri; Siluriformes; Ictaluridae
Source: Ensembl
AGAAGGGACUGGGUUUCAUUACUGGGUUUCUGAAGAGGUUACUGGCUUUCACUGGGUUUCUGAAGAGGUUACUGGGUUUCUGAAGAAGGGACUGGGUUUCAUUACUGGGUUUCUGAAGAGGUUACUGGGUUUCUGAAGAAGGUACUGGGUUUCAUUACUGGGUUUCUGAAGAGGUUACUGGGUUUCUACAAAGGCUCCUGGGUUUCCAAACACAUUACUGGAUUUCUGAAGAAGUUGCUGGAUUCUCCUUCCGCUUCUUCCUUUUCUUUAUUCUCCUUUUUUCUUCUCCUACCAUUCCUUGUUUUUCCCUCCAUCUUCAUUUCCCUCACCUUUUCCUCAUUCUGCUUUAUCUUCUCAUCCAUUUUCUCCUCCUUUUUAAUCUUCACUUUAGUCUUGCUCUCCUCUUCUCAUCUUUUACUUCAUCCUCCUCUCCUUCUUCACCAUCUUCUCCUUGUUCUUCUUUCCCCUAUUUUUUGUCCUUCUGAAGUCCUAAAAACUGACUCAAUUCCUGAACCAGUUCCUGUAGAAGAGCGUUUUUACUGUGUUCCAUUCCGCAGUAUGCUUGUAAGAUUGUGACACUUAAUUUUACUUCUUUGUUUGCCAUCUUCUUUUCAGAACUACAGGAGCAACUUCAGGAGGAAGUGAAGCACAAGAUGGAGAUUAAGGAGGAGGUGAAGUUGAAUAUGAAGUUGGAGCUUUAUGAGGAGGUGAAGCAGAAGAUUGAGCUUCAGGAGGAGCAGCACAUGCAGGAGAUUCAGCGACUGAGGAGUUACUACAGUGAACAGAUCAGAGAAACGGAGGAACGCUACACCAACCAGAUCCUCCUUCUGCAGGACCGACUUCAGGACAUGACUCCAGCAGACACCUUGCACAGGUAACACUAACAUCUGGAGUUUAAGGCUCUUUUACAGAUGUUAGGUUUUGUGUCUAUUCAGCAUUCUUAUUACAACAUGUAGUGUGGAUUUGUUCAGUGCUGCCCCCUCCUGUCCAGUAGGUGAUUUCACACUUUGUGUGUGUGUGUGUGUGUGUGUGUGUGUGUGUGUUUUCCAGCAUGCAAAGCAUUUCUGCACACCUACAAGAGCAACAGCUUCAGGUAAGUUACAGUACACUACUGGCUUGAAC